GGCACACAGGAGAUGCAUGGUGCUCGACGCGGCGCAAAGCGCCGGAGCAUAAUCGGGAAUGGGGAUGGGCGGACCCAGUUGCGGCGCCCCAAACCCCAGCCGCCCCCGCGACUGUAAGCGGUAAGGGACUCCGAACCGCCACUGGGCCGCAAGGCUCGGGAAGGCCGGAGAACCCAGUGAGCCGCGAGCCAGGAGACCGGCCGUGCGUGUUUUGAGGCC
This 219-nucleotide non-coding RNA is filed under the name Bradyrhizobium sp. Lineage: Bacteria; Pseudomonadati; Pseudomonadota; Alphaproteobacteria; Hyphomicrobiales; Nitrobacteraceae. The record is from RNAcentral.